GACGAACGCUGGCGGCGUGCCUAAUACAUGCAAGUAGAACGCUGAAGGAGGAGCUUGCUUCUCUGGAUGAGUUGCGAACGGGUGAGUAACGCGUAGGUAACCUGCCUGGUAGCGGGGGAUAACUAUUGGAAACGAUAGCUAAUACCGCAUAAUAGCAGUUAUUGCAUGAUAACUGUUUGAAAGGUGCAAUUGCACCACUACCAGAUGGACCUGCGUUGUAUUAGCUAGUUGGUGGGGUAACGGCUCACCAAGGCGACGAUACAUAGCCGACCUGAGAGGGUGAUCGGCCACACUGGGACUGAGACACGGCCCAGACUCCUACGGGAGGCAGCAGUAGGGAAUCUUCGGCAAUGGACGGAAGUCUGACCGAGCAACGCCGCGUGAGUGAAGAAGGUUUUCGGAUCGUAAAGCUCUGUUGUAAGAGAAGAUCGAGUGUGAGAGUGGAAAGUUCACACUGUGACGGUAUCUUACCAGAAAGGGACGGCUAACUACGUG
This 495-nucleotide ribosomal RNA is filed under the name uncultured bacterium. Its description in RNAcentral is "partial 16S ribosomal RNA". It matches the Rfam family "Bacterial small subunit ribosomal RNA", at positions 28 to 507 of the family's 1533-position model. The record is from RNAcentral.